RNAcentral lists this ribosomal RNA (2508 nucleotides) under Listeria monocytogenes. RNAcentral describes it as "partial 23S ribosomal RNA". It matches the Rfam family "Bacterial large subunit ribosomal RNA", at positions 356 to 2861 of the family's 2925-position model. The record is from RNAcentral. Lineage: Bacteria; Bacillati; Bacillota; Bacilli; Caryophanales; Listeriaceae.
CAAAGACGGUAACAGCCCGGUAGUUGAAAUGGCUUUCCCUCCAGAGUGGAUCCUGAGUACGGCGGAACACGUGAAAUUCCGUCGGAAUCCGGGAGGACCAUCUCCCAAGGCUAAAUACUCCCUAGUGACCGAUAGUGAACCAGUACCGUGAGGGAAAGGUGAAAAGCACCCCGGAAGGGGAGUGAAACAGUUCCUGAAACCGUGUGCCUACAAGUAGUUAGAGCCCGUUAAUGGGUGAUAGCGUGCCUUUUGUAGAAUGAACCGGCGAGUUACGAUUUGUUGCAAGGUUAAGCGGAAAAAGCGGAGCCGUAGCGAAAGCGAGUCUGAAUAGGGCGCAUAAGUAACAGGUCGUAGACCCGAAACCAGGUGAUCUACCCAUGUCCAGGAUGAAGGUAAGGUAAUACUUACUGGAGGUCCGAACCCACGCACGUUGAAAAGUGCGGGGAUGAGGUGUGGGUAGCGGAGAAAUUCCAAUCGAACUUGGAGAUAGCUGGUUCUCUCCGAAAUAGCUUUAGGGCUAGCCUCGAGGUAAAGAGUCAUGGAGGUAGAGCACUGUUUGGACUAGGGGCCCUUCUCGGGUUACCGAAUUCAGAUAAACUCCGAAUGCCAUGUACUUAUACUCGGGAGUCAGACUGCGAGUGAUAAGAUCCGUAGUCGAAAGGGAAACAGCCCAGACCACCAGUUAAGGUCCCCAAAUAUAUGUUAAGUGGAAAAGGAUGUGGGGUUGCUUAGACAACCAGGAUGUUGGCUUAGAAGCAGCCACCAUUGAAAGAGUGCGUAAUAGCUCACUGGUCGAGUGACCCCGCGCCGAAAAUGUACCGGGGCUAAACAUAUUACCGAAACUGUGGAUGAACCUCUUUAGAGGUUCGUGGUAGGAGAGCGUUCUAAGGGCGGUGAAGUCAGACCGGAAGGACUGGUGGAGCGCUUAGAAGUGAGAAUGCCGGUAUGAGUAGCGAAAGAAGGGUGAGAAUCCCUUCCACCGAAUAUCUAAGGUUUCCUGAGGAAGGCUCGUCCGCUCAGGGUUAGUCGGGACCUAAGCCGAGGCCGAUAGGCGUAGGCGAUGGACAACAGGUAGAGAUUCCUGUACCAGUGCUAAUUGUUUAACCGAUGGGGUGACACAGAAGGAUAGGGAAUCGCACGAAUGGAAAUGUGCGUCCAAGCAGUGAGUGUGAGAAGUAGGCAAAUCCGCUUCUCGCGAAGCAUGAGCUGUGAUGGGGAAGGAAAUUAAGUACGGAAGUUCCUGAUUUCACGCUGUCAAGAAAAGCCUCUAGGAAGAGUAGUACUGCCCGUACCGCAAACCGACACAGGUAGAUGAGGAGAGAAUCCUAAGGUGAGCGAGAGAACUCUCGUUAAGGAACUCGGCAAAAUGACCCCGUAACUUCGGGAGAAGGGGUGCUCUAUUAGGGUGCAAGCCCGAGAGAGCCGCAGUGAAUAGGCCCAGGCGACUGUUUAGCAAAAACACAGGUCUCUGCAAAACCGUAAGGUGACGUAUAGGGGCUGACGCCUGCCCGGUGCUGGAAGGUUAAGAGGAGUGCUUAGCUUCGGCGAAGGUACGAAUUGAAGCCCCAGUAAACGGCGGCCGUAACUAUAACGGUCCUAAGGUAGCGAAAUUCCUUGUCGGGUAAGUUCCGACCCGCACGAAAGGCGCAACGAUCUGGGCACUGUCUCAACGAGAGACUCGGUGAAAUUAUAGUACCUGUGAAGAUGCAGGUUACCCGCGACAGGACGGAAAGACCCCGUGGAGCUUUACUGCAACCUGAUAUGGAAUGUUUGUACCGCUUGUACAGGAUAGGUAGGAGCCGAAGAGACGUGUGCGCUAGCAUACGAGGAGGCAAUGGUGGGAUACUACCCUGGCUGUAUGACCAUUCUAACCCGCCACGCUUAGCGCGUGGGGAGACAGUGUCAGGUGGGCAGUUUGACUGGGGCGGUCGCCUCCUAAAGAGUAACGGAGGCGCCCAAAGGUUCCCUCAGAAUGGAUGGAAAUCAUUCGCAGAGUGUAAAGGCACAAGGGAGCUUGACUGCGAGACUGACAAGUCGAGCAGGGACGAAAGUCGGGCUUAGUGAUCCGGUGGUUCCGCAUGGAAGGGCCAUCGCUCAACGGAUAAAAGCUACCCCGGGGAUAACAGGCUUAUCUCCCCCAAGAGUCCACAUCGACGGGGAGGUUUGGCACCUCGAUGUCGGCUCGUCGCAUCCUGGGGCUGUAGUCGGUCCCAAGGGUUGGGCUGUUCGCCCAUUAAAGCGGCACGCGAGCUGGGUUCAGAACGUCGUGAGACAGUUCGGUCCCUAUCCGUCGCGGGCGCAGGAAAUUUGAGAGGAGCUGUCCUUAGUACGAGAGGACCGGGAUGGACACACCGCUGGUGUACCAGUUGUUCCGCCAGGAGCAUCGCUGGGUAGCUAUGUGUGGCAGGGAUAAACGCUGAAAGCAUCUAAGCGUGAAGCCCCCCUCAAGAUGAGAUUUCCCAUUUCUUCGGAAAGUAAGAUCCCUGAAAGAUGAUCAGGUAGAUAGGU